This 495-nucleotide ribosomal RNA is filed under the name uncultured bacterium. RNAcentral describes it as "partial 16S ribosomal RNA". It matches the Rfam family "Bacterial small subunit ribosomal RNA", at positions 28 to 507 of the family's 1533-position model. The record is from RNAcentral.
GACGAACGCUGGCGGCGUGCCUAAUACAUGCAAGUCGAACGCUGAAGGAGGAGCUUGCUCUUCUGGAUGAGUUGCGAACGGGUGAGUAACGCGUAGGUAACCUGCCUGGUAGUGGGGGAUAACUAUUGGAAACGAUAGCUAAUACCGCAUAAUAACAGUUGUUGCAUGACAACUGUUUGAAAGGUGCAAUUGCAUCACUACCAGAUGGACCUGCGUUGUAUUAGCUAGUUGGUGGGGUAACGGCUCACCAAGGCGACGAUACAUAGCCGACCUGAGAGGGUGAUCGGCCACACUGGGACUGAGACACGGCCCAGACUCCUACGGGAGGCAGCAGUAGGGAAUCUUCGGCAAUGGACGAAAGUCUGACCGAGCAACGCCGCGUGAGUGAAGAAGGUUUUCGGAUCGUAAAGCUCUGUUGUAAGAGAAGAACGAGUGUGAGAGUGGAAAGUUCACACUGUGACGGUAUCUUACCAGAAAGGGACGGCUAACUACGUG